UCCACGCCGUAAACGAUGAAUGCCAGCCGUUGGGGAGUUUACUCUUCAGUGGCGCAGCUAACGCUUUAAGCAUUCCGCCUGGGGAGUACGGUCGCAAGAUUAAAACUCAAAGGAAUUGACGGGGGCCCGCACAAGCGGUGGAGCAUGUGGUUUAAUUCGACGCAACGCGCAGAACCUUACCAGCCCUUGACAUGUCUAUGACCGGUACCAGAGAUGGAAC
Molecule: ribosomal RNA, 220 nt
Filed under: uncultured bacterium
Lineage: Bacteria
Description: partial 16S ribosomal RNA
Rfam family: Bacterial small subunit ribosomal RNA
Source: RNAcentral